Molecule: non-coding RNA, 112 nt
Organism: Acanthosepion pharaonis
Lineage: Eukaryota; Metazoa; Mollusca; Cephalopoda; Sepiida; Sepiidae
Source: the annotation of a GenBank genome assembly
UUACGGCCAUAUCACGUUGAAACACCGUUCUCAUCCGACCACUAAAGUUAAUCAACGUUGAACCUGAUCACUACCUAGACGAGUGACCGCUAGGGAAUACCACGUGCUGUAA